This 468-nucleotide ribosomal RNA is filed under the name uncultured bacterium. RNAcentral's name for it is "partial 16S ribosomal RNA". It matches the Rfam family "Bacterial small subunit ribosomal RNA", at positions 28 to 507 of the family's 1533-position model. The record is from RNAcentral.
GACGAACGCUGGCGGCGUGCUUAACACAUGCAAGUCGAACGGAAAGGCCCUGCUUUUGUGGGGUGCUCUAGUGGCGAACGGGUGAGUAACCCGUGAGUAACCUGCCCUUGACUUUGGGAUUACUUCCGGAAACUGGGGCUAAUACCGGAUAGGAGCUCCUGCUGCAUGGUGGGGGUUGGAAAGUUUCGGCGGUUGGGGAUGGACUCGCGGCUUAUCAGCUUGUUGGUGGGGUAGUGGCUUACCAAGGCUUUGACGGGUAGCCGGCCUGAGAGGGUGACCGGCCACAGUGGGAAUGAGAGACGGCCCAGACUGCUACGGGAGGCAGAAGUGGGGAAUAUUGCACAAUGGGCGGAAGCCUGAGGCAGAAACGCCGCGUGCGGGAGGACGGCCUUCGGGUUGUAAACCGCGUUCGCCUGUGACGAAGCGUGAGUGACGGUAAUGGGUAAAGAAGCACCGGCUAACUACGUG